Non-coding RNA from Pelodiscus sinensis (Chinese soft-shelled turtle), 427 nucleotides. The record is from the annotation of a RefSeq genome assembly. NCBI's taxonomy places the organism in Eukaryota, Metazoa, Chordata, Testudines, Trionychidae.
AGCUGCCUCCUCCUCGUGCACCAUGAACUCCCCGCUCCUCCCGCUGCUCCUCCUGGCCCUGGCCCCAGGUGCCCGGUCCCAGCUCCAGCUCCAGGAGUCCGGCCCGGGCGCGGUGAAGCCCGGAGAGACCCUCACACUCACCUGCUCUGUCACCGGGGGCACCGUCACAAGCAGCUACUGGUGGAACUGGAUACGGCAGGCUCCGGGCCAGGGGCUGGAGUGGAUGGGAUUAUGGACCGGGAGCACGAGCUACAACCCGUCCCUGCAAGGCCGCAUCGCCAUCACCGUGGAUUCUUCCAGCACCAAGUAUUAUCUGCGGCUCAGCGCGCUGACAGCUGCAGACACCGCCACGUAUUUCUGUGCCACACGCUACACAGUGACACAGAACGAAGCAGGGAUCGGCACAAAAAGGGGAAGCGGAUUCUGA